AUAUUGGACAAUGGGGGCAACCCUGAUCCAGCCAUGCCGCGUGUGUGAAGAAGGUCUUCGGAUUGUAAAGCACUUUAAGUGGGGAGGAAGGGCUUUAGGUUAAUACCCUGAAGUUUUGACGUUACCAACAGUAUAAUCACCGGCUAACUUUGUGCCAGCAGCCGUGGUAAUACAGAGGUUGCAAUAGUUAAUCGGAAUUACUGGGCGUGAAUCACACGUAGGUGAUUCAGUACGAUAGGUGUGAAAGCCCCGGGCUUAACCUAGGAACUGCUUUCAUAACUGCUGAGCUAGAGUACGGUAGAGGGUAGUGGAAUUUCCUGUGUAGCGGUGAAAUGCGUAGAUAUAGAAAGGAACACCAGUGGCGAAGGCGACUACCUGGACUGAUACUGACACUGAGGUGCGAAAGCGUGGGGAGCAAAC
This 420-nucleotide ribosomal RNA is filed under the name uncultured bacterium. RNAcentral's name for it is "partial 16S ribosomal RNA". It matches the Rfam family "Bacterial small subunit ribosomal RNA", at positions 361 to 773 of the family's 1533-position model. The record is from RNAcentral.